Molecule: transfer RNA, 99 nt
Filed under: Veillonella sp.
Lineage: Bacteria; Bacillati; Bacillota; Negativicutes; Veillonellales; Veillonellaceae
Description: tRNA-Asp
Rfam family: tRNA
About the family: Transfer RNA (tRNA) molecules are approximately 80 nucleotides in length. Their secondary structure includes four short double-helical elements and three loops (D, anti-codon, and T loops). Further hydrogen bonds mediate the characteristic L-shaped molecular structure. tRNAs have two regions of fundamental functional importance: the anti-codon, which is responsible for specific mRNA codon recognition, and the 3' end, to which the tRNAs corresponding amino acid is attached (by aminoacyl-tRNA synthetases). tRNAs cope with the degeneracy of the genetic code in two manners: having more than one tRNA (with a specific anti-codon) for a particular amino acid; and 'wobble' base-pairing, i.e. permitting non-standard base-pairing at the 3rd anti-codon position.
Source: RNAcentral
GCCCCGUGGUGUAGCGGUUAACAUGUCGCCCUGUCACGGCGAAGAUCGUCAGGACUGAAAAUCCGUGUGUCGACAGUUCGAUUCUGUCCUGAGGCACCA